RNAcentral lists this ribosomal RNA (468 nucleotides) under uncultured bacterium. RNAcentral's name for it is "partial 16S ribosomal RNA". It matches the Rfam family "Bacterial small subunit ribosomal RNA", at positions 28 to 507 of the family's 1533-position model. The record is from RNAcentral.
GACGAACGCUGGCGGCGUGCUUAACACAUGCAAGUCGAACGGAAAGGCCCUGCUUUUGUGGGGUGCUCGAGUGGCGAACGGGUGAGUAACACGUGAGUAACAUGCCCUUGACUUUGGGAUAACUUCAGGAAACUGGGGCUAAUACCGGAUAGGAGCUCCUGCUGCAUGGUGGGGGUUGGAAAGUUUCGGCGGUUGGGGAUGGACUCGCGGCUUAUCAGCUUGUUGGUGGGGUAGUGGCUUACCAAGGCUUUGACGGGUAGCCGGCCUGAGAGGGUGACCGGCCACAUUGGGACUGAGAUACGGCCCAGACGCCUACGGGAGGCAGCAGUGGGGAAUAUUGCGCAAUGGGCGGAAGCCUGAUGCAGCAACGCCGCGUGCGGGAUGACGGCCUUCGGGUUGGAAACCGCUUUCGCCUGUGACGAAGCGUGAGUGACGGUAAUGGGUAAAGAAGCACCGGCUAACUACGUG